RNAcentral lists this ribosomal RNA (646 nucleotides) under uncultured bacterium. RNAcentral describes it as "bacterial SSU rRNA". It matches the Rfam family "Bacterial small subunit ribosomal RNA", at positions 1 to 638 of the family's 1533-position model. The record is from RNAcentral.
CCCUUAGAGUUUGAUCCUGGCUCAGAUUGAACGCUGGCGGCAGGCCUAACACAUGCAAGUCGAAUGGUAACAGGAAACAGCUUGCUGUUUCGCUGACGAGUGGCGGACGGGUGAGUAAUGUCUGGGAAACUGCCUGAUGGAGGGGGAUAACUACUGGAAACGGUAGCUAAUACCGCAUAACGUCGCAAGACCAAAGAGGGGGACCUUCGGGCCUCUUGCCAUCAGAUGUGCCCAGAUGGGAUUAGCUAGUAGGUGGGGUAACGGCUCACCUAGGCGACGAUCCCUAGCUGGUCUGAGAGGAUGACCAGCCACACUGGAACUGAGACACGGUCCAGACUCCUACGGGAGGCAGCAGUGGGGAAUAUUGCACAAUGGGCGCAAGCCUGAUGCGGCCAUGCCGCGUGUAUGAAGAAGGCCUUCGGGUUGUAAAGUACUUUCAGCGGGGAGGAAGGGAGUAAAGUUAAUACCUUUGCUCAUUGACGUUACCCGCAGAAGAAACACCGGCUAACUCCGUGCCAGCAGCCGCGGUAAUACGGAGGGUGCAAGCGUUAAUCGGAAUUACUGGGCGUAAAGCGCACGCAGGCGGGUUGUUAAGUCAGAUGUGAAAUCCCCGGGCUCAACCUGGGAACUGCAUCUGAUACUGGCA